UUAAGUGACUAAGCGUACAUGGUGGAUGCCUUGGCAGUCAGAGGCGAUGAAGGACGUACUAACCUGCGAUAAGCCGUGAGCAGUCGGUAAGAGACAUUACGACUCACGGAUUUCCGAAUGGGGAAACCCACUUAGCAUAAGCUAGGUAUCGCUGCGUGAAUACAUAGCGUAGCGAGGCGAACCGGGAGAACUGAAACAUCUAAGUACCCCGAGGAAAAGAAAUCAACCGAGAUUCCCUCAGUAGCGGCGAGCGAACGGGGAUUAGCCCUUAAGCAUCUUGGAAGUUAGUGGAACGGUCCUGGAAAGGCCGGCGAUACAGGGUGAUAGCCCCGUACACGAAAACAACCUUGAUGUGAAAUCGAGUAGGGCGGGACACGUGACAUCCUGUCUGAAUAUGGGGGGACCAUCCUCCAAGGCUAAAUACUCCUGACUGACCGAUAGUGAACCAGUACCGUGAGGGAAAGGCGAAAAGAACCCCUGUGAGGGGAGUGAAAUAGAACCUGAAACCGUGUACGUACAAGCAGUGGGAGCCCUUCGGGGUGACUGCGUACCUUUUGUAUAAUGGGUCAGCGACUUACAUUUUGUAGCGAGGUUAACCGUAUAGGGGAGCCGUAGGGAAACCGAGUCUUAACUGGGCGUCUAGUUGCAAGGUGUAGACCCGAAACCGGGUGAUCUAGCCAUGGGCAGGUUGAAGGUUGAGUAACAUCAACUGGAGGACCGAACCCACUAACGUUGCAAAGUUAGGGGAUGACCUGUGGCUGGGGGUGAAAGGCCAAUCAAACUCGGAGAUAGCUGGUUCUCCCCGAAAGCUAUUUAGGUAGCGCCUCGGACGAAUACUACUGGGGGUAGAGCACUGUUUGGGCUAGGGGGUCAUCCCGACUUACCAACCCCAUGCAAACUCCGAAUACCAGUAAGUAAUAUCCGGGAGACACACGGCGGGUGCUAACGUCCGUCGUGAAGAGGGAAACAACCCAGACCGCCGGCUAAGGUCCCAAAGUUCUGGUUAAGUGGGAAACGAUGUGGGAAGGCUCAGACAGCUAGGAUGUUGGCUUAGAAGCAGCCAUCAUUUAAAGAAAGCGUAAUAGCUCACUAGUCGAGUCGGCCUGCGCGGAAGAUGUAACGGGGCUCAAACCAGGCACCGAAGCCGCGGAUUCACGCUAAGCGUGAGUGGUAGGGGAGCGUUCUGUAAGUCUGCGAAGGUGUAUCGAGAGGUAUGCUGGAGAUAUCAGAAGUGCGAAUGCUGACGUAAGUAACGAUAAAGGGGGUGAAAAGCCUCCUCGCCGGAAGACCAAGGGUUCCUGUCCAACGUUAAUCGGGGCAGGGUGAGUCGACCCCUAAGGCGAGGCCGAAAGGCGUAGUCGAUGGGAAGCAGGUUAAUAUUCCUGCACGACUUGUAAUUGCGAUGGGGGGACGGAGAAGGCUAGGUGGGCCAGGCGACGGUUGUCCUGGUGAAAGUGCGUAGGUGGUGUUUCUAGGCAAAUCCGGAGACACAACACUGAGACACGAGACGAACACACUACGGUGGGAAGCCAUUGAUGCCCUGCUUCCAGGAAAAGCCUCUAAGCUUCAGAUUACAAGUCAUCGUACCCCAAACCGACACAGGUGGUCGGGUAGAGAAUACCAAGGCGCUUGAGAGAACUCGGGUGAAGGAACUAGGCAAAAUAGAACCGUAACUUCGGGAGAAGGUUCGCUCUUGACAGUGAAGUCCCUUGCGGAUGGAGCAGUUGGGAGUCGCAGUGACCAGAUGGCUGGGACUGUUUAUCAAAAACACAGCACUCUGCAAACACGAAAGUGGACGUAUAGGGUGUGACACCUGCCCGGUGCCGGAAGGUUAAUUGAUGGGGUUAGCGCAAGCGAAGCUCUUGAUCGAAGCCCCGGUAAACGGCGGCCGUAACUAUAACGGUCCUAAGGUAGCGAAAUUCCUUGUCGGGUAAGUUCCGACCUGCACGAAUGGUGUAACCAUGGCCAUGCUGUCUCCACCCGAGACUCAGUGAAAUCGAAUUCGCCGUGAAGAUGCGGUGUACCCGCGGCUAGACGGAAAGACCCCGUGAACCUUUACUACAGCUUGGCACUGAACAUUGAACCUACAUGUGUAGGAUAGGUGGGAGGCUUUGAAGGCGUGACGCCAGUUGCGCUGGAGCCGUCCUUGAAAUACCACCCUUGUAUGUUUGAUGUUCUAACGCAGGCCCGUGAAUCCGGGUCGCGGACAGUGCCUGGUGGGUAGUUUGACUGGGGCGGUCUCCUCCCAAAGAGUAACGGAGGAGCACGAAGGUUGGCUAAUCCUGGUCGGACAUCAGGAGGUUAGUGCAAUGGCAUAAGCCAGCUUAACUGCGAGACGGACAGGUCGAGCAGGUACGAAAGUAGGUCAUAGUGAUCCGGUGGUUCUGAAUGGAAGGGCCAUCGCUCAACGGAUAAAAGGUACUCCGGGGAUAACAGGCUGAUACCGCCCAAGAGUUCAUAUCGACGGCGGUGUUUGGCACCUCGAUGUCGGCUCAUCACAUCCUGGGGCUGAAGUCGGUCCCAAGGGUAUGGCUGUUCGCCAUUUAAAGUGGUACGCGAGCUGGGUUCAGAACGUCGUGAGACAGUUCGGUCCCUAUCUGCCGUGGGCGUUGGAUGAUUGAAGGGAGUUGCUCCUAGUACGAGAGGACCGGAGUGAACGAACCUCUGGUGUUCGGGUUGUCACGCCAGUGGCACUGCCCGGUAGCUAAGUUCGGAAUCGAUAACCGCUGAAAGCAUCUAAGCGGGAAGCGAGCCCUGAGAUGAGUCAUCCCUGACCCCUUGAGGGUCCUAAAGGGCCGUUGGAGACCACAACGUUGAUAGGUGGGGUGUGUAAGCGCGGCGACGUGUUGAGCUAACCCAUACUAAUUACCCGUGAGGCUUAACCA
RNAcentral lists this ribosomal RNA (2885 nucleotides) under Aeromonas hydrophila. RNAcentral's name for it is "23S ribosomal RNA". It matches the Rfam family "Bacterial large subunit ribosomal RNA". Lineage: Bacteria; Pseudomonadati; Pseudomonadota; Gammaproteobacteria; Aeromonadales; Aeromonadaceae. The record is from RNAcentral.